UAGGGAAUCUUCGGCAAUGGGGGCAACCCUGACCGAGCCACGCCGCGUGAGUGAAGAAGGUUUUCGGAUCGUAAAGCUCUGUUGUAAUAGAAGAACGUGUGUGAGAGUGGAAAGUUCACACAGUGACGGUAACUUACCAGAAAGGGACGGCUAACUACGUGCCAGCAGCCGCGGUAAUACGUAGGUCCCGAGCGUUGUCCGGAUUUAUUGGGCGUAAAGCGAGCGCAGGCGGUUUAAUAAGUCUGAAGUUAAAGGCAGUGGCUUAACCAUUGUUCGCUUUGGAAACUGUUAAACUUGAGUGCAGAAGGGGAGAGUGGAAUUCCAUGUGUAGCGGUGAAAUGCGUAGAUAUAUGGAGGAACACCGGUGGCGAAAGCGGCUCUCUGGUCUGUAACUGACGCUGAGGCUCGAAAGCGUGGGGAGCAAACAGG
This 429-nucleotide ribosomal RNA is filed under the name bacterium. RNAcentral describes it as "partial 16S ribosomal RNA". It matches the Rfam family "Bacterial small subunit ribosomal RNA", at positions 355 to 776 of the family's 1533-position model. The record is from RNAcentral.